CAUACUCAAGUUGGGCGACACUAGCAUCAGCCGUCAAAGUUCACAAUAUUCGCCGAUGAAUCCGCCGGCGACGAUUAAAGAUGAGAAACAAGCUCGCGGGGGCACUGAUUGAGAGGCCGUAUCCCCAGAUUUGGACCGGGUCGGGUCAUGUUUGAGACCAACUUAAUCGGGUUCGGGCUCGCCGUCGGCUCCAGCGUCUUUAUUGGCUCAAGCUUCAUUAUCAAGAAGAAGGGCUUGUAGAGGGCCGGAGCCUCAGGCGCUCGCGCCGGUAGGUUUUUGUUUUGAUUUUUUCAAAUUGGGGGGAUUUUGAAUUGGGCAAAGUUUGAAGCUUUAAUUGUUGUAUUGAGCUUUGAUUGGAAAUUUCUCGAGAUGAAGUUGUCAAUUAUUGGGGAAAAAAUUGUCUUUGUUUGUAUUUGGUUGUUGCGUUAGCGGAUUGGGUAAAUUAUUGGCUUUCA
Salvia hispanica is the source of this 455-nucleotide non-coding RNA. The record is from RefSeq and is a predicted model, not a curated record. Lineage: Eukaryota; Viridiplantae; Streptophyta; Magnoliopsida; Lamiales; Lamiaceae.